UCCGCUUGGAGAGAUCGAGGUCCUCGAGGCCGAGCACCUGGAGAAGAUCUGGGAGACGAGCGAUGGAAGAGCUCUCUUUUACAAGCCUGUCCAGGUACCAGAUGGGUUUCAUGCGCUUGGCUGUCAUGCAAGACGAACAGAGGUACCUGAUAGCUUGCUGUUGUUAGUGCGAGGCAGCGGCGUCACCGCCGGUGCCUCCAAACCAGCUCCUCUCGCUCCACCCGUCGACUACUCACUCGUCUGGAAGAGCCCAGUUAGAAACGAGAAUGAGACGGCCAUGGCUUUCUGGUUACCUCUGCCUCCCGCUGGUUACAAGGCACUCGGCUUCGUCGCCAGCGUCACCAAGCCUGGAGUGGACGAGGUUGCCUGCGUUCGAGAGGAUCUCACCAGCGAUGCCACUAUCUCCAACUCCA
This 413-nucleotide long non-coding RNA is filed under the name Selaginella moellendorffii. RNAcentral's name for it is "long non-coding RNA (SMOE_LNC000599)". Lineage: Eukaryota; Viridiplantae; Streptophyta; Lycopodiopsida; Selaginellales; Selaginellaceae. The record is from RNAcentral.